RNAcentral lists this microRNA (18 nucleotides) under Ornithorhynchus anatinus (platypus). RNAcentral's name for it is "oan-miR-1342". The record is from miRBase by way of RNAcentral. Lineage: Eukaryota; Metazoa; Chordata; Mammalia; Monotremata; Ornithorhynchidae.
AACUGGGAUUGCUUGGCC